AGACACGGCGAAUGUGCCAUCUCACGGUUUCUGUCAAUCGGAAGUCGGGUAGACGCAGCUGGCUCUAUGCUCAGGGUAUCAUAAAGCUGAACUUGAGAUGACAGUUGACCUGGGCCUUUCCGUGGACGCUCUGGGAAGACUCUGCUUCUGGGCUCGUUUGGGUUGUUGGUCAAAUCAGAUAGUUGUCCUGAAGGACUGGAAGCCUGGUUUUCUUGUUGACUGCCAGCCCGAGGCUGCUAAAGGCCGCCUGAUUCCUUUUCACGUAGCUCCUUCAUCUUCAAACCAGCAAGGCCAGCAAGGAGUCAAGACAUUUAUGAAUAUGGAAACCUGUAACUCAACAUCUUCAGUUUCCGGAGGAAGAAAAAUCUCCCCCAUAAAACCUGUGAGGGUUGCAAACGAACGGGGAAGGAGAAAUCAACAUAAAUGGACAGUUUGAAUAAUUUUAAAUGUGGCAGAGCACUGCAUACCUCAGGAAAACCCCAUGAAGGAAGGGAAGGCUCCCGGGUGCAGGUGCCUGUGUGCGGUUCACACGGCGGCCGGAGGAUUCUUAGCGAUAGUCGAAGAUCACAGGACGAUGCAGCAGCGGUGACUGCCAGCCCUCUCGAGCCAGGUACUGCGGUUUUAUUCAACCACUGUUGGGCCGGAAAGGUCUCUUUCCAUCACGCCCUCAUGCGGACUGACCUCUGCUCUCCUUCCUGGGUCUUUACAACGCCUGCGCCUUCAGCGACUGCUCUUCUUUCUUGGAUGCUCUCACCGGUUCCCGUUGGAGCCGUAAUUCCAAAGCCAUGGUUGUUGUUCUGCAAGCUGAAGAGUACUCUCUUGCUCAGCUUCCUGCAGCACUGUUCAGGCAUUUAGGAGUACGCGAGGACGUUGCCCUUCAGUGACCCGAGCCAGGGCGAAGAUGACCGUGGAAGGUAGAGUUGGGCAUUGAUGACCUAACACCGAGAGUCAGAGACAAAGACACAAAGAGAAAAACCAAGUAAAUCUAUUUGCUGUCCUGAAGGGUGGAUCUGACUAACGUGCUCUAGCCCUGACUUUCACGGAUUCCUUGCUGUCUGGUGCUGACACUAACUGGUGCAAACCUCCGCAGAAGCCCCUUCCCUGGACAGGAAGCAUCAUAUGCCCGUUUUCUCCGGGAUGCAGACCGUGGCUCGGAGAUGCGCCGGUGCUCGAACGGACGAGGUCUGGGCCUCUCGCCAUGUGUUCAGCUGCUGCGUCGCCGUGUCCCUAACAGGCUUGCUCCCUUCUCUGGGUGGCUGAUCCCCUCUGCAGUAGAUCCACCUUCCCUAGUGUGGUCGAACCAGAGCCCGAGUCUACCACCAGCGUAUUCUCCAAAGACCCUGGUGCCAGCUGGCAUCCUGAGAACGGGAGAAGAAGAGAAUACCGGAGGGGCGAAAUCAUAGGAAUCCCCGGAUUGAGAACUCUACUCAAUCAUUCGGCCGGGCCGCGUUUUCACCGUGGGUCGUCCUGUCAGGACCCUCGACGUGGUGGCUUCACAAAGCAGAUGGAGGUCGAAAUUGAAUUGCUGCUGACUGUUGUCCCUUGUUAUGGCCUGUGGAGAUAUGACAGUUGAGGAAGAACUUAGAGGAAUGCCAAGUAGCAGAGCAUGAAAGAGUAGGUGGGACCCACUGCCUUGGACACUUUAUGGCUGAGAGCAUUUGGCAAGAAAAAAGCUGCAGCCUCUAUAUUAGCCCUGCAAAUAGAUCUCAACAUCAACCAUGCCCCCACCCUCACCUCUGUUUAAUUUGCCCCAUGAUGGAUGUAUUUACCAAGAUCUGUUCUUCUCAUUUCCCGCUACCUCCCUGGACCCCUCAUAAAAUACCCAGAUAAUGAAAUAGAUCACCCUCGAGAGUUUCCUUGUUUGGUUGAAAAAUUGGGCACAGGAAGCAGAGACCAGGCACAUGACAUGUCUUGUCUGUCCUACUUUUGAUUCCUUUGGGUUUGUCCUGUUUUGCGGUCAGUUUGACCAGGGAUUUUCACCUGGAGUCUCUGGAUGAUCUUGCAGAGGUGCCUGACCCCAGGGACUAGAAGCACAGUAUCUGGGCAGGGUACGGCACUCUUUUUUUUUUUUUUUUUUCCUUUUUCCAUCAGGAGAGAGUCUAUAGCUUUCACAAGAUUCUCGAAGGUGCUUAAGACUUCAAAAAAGCUUAUGAAUUCCUGCUUUGGAUCUUUGGUUUAUGGGGCAGUGAAACUUUGUGUGUUUGCUUUAACGACCGAGACACAGCAUUUUAUGGGAACGAGAACAAGGGAGUGGUGGAGAAAAACAGCUUGGAGGGCAUUAUUACCUUUCCCAAUCUUCAUUUCUUGUCAUGAAUUAUUAAUCAUGAGGUAACACUUCAUCUGAUGCUUUGCAAACUCUCCCCCUGGUAAGAACAGCCUAAUUGAAUUGGAGGAAGUGGAGCAAGAAGAGCUAAACGUGGUCUUUGAUGGUUUCACCAAAAGCAAUUAUCCACACUGCAGCCUUCUCCACCUGUUUGAAAACCCAAGGCCCACUAAUCCUGUGCCACAAGGGAACGCAUGGGAGGGGAGAGGCAAAAUUAAACUGGUUGAGCU
This 2553-nucleotide long non-coding RNA is filed under the name Sus scrofa (pig). Its description in RNAcentral is "lncRNA (ENSSSCG00055028011.1)". The record is from RNAcentral. Lineage: Eukaryota; Metazoa; Chordata; Mammalia; Artiodactyla; Suidae.